AUUGAACGCUUGCGGCAUGCCUUACACAUGCAAGUCGAACGGCAGCGCGGACUUCGGUCUGGCGGCGAGUGGCGAACGGGUGAGUAAUACAUCGGAACGUACCCUGUUGUGGGGGAUAACUAGUCGAAAGAUUAGCUAAUACCGCAUACGACCUGAGGGUGAAAGUGGGGGACCGCAAGGACUCACGCAGCAGGAGCGGCCGAUGGCUGAUUAGCUAGUUGGUGGGGUAAAGGCCCACCAAGGCGACGAUCAGUAGCUGGUCUGAGAGGACGAUCAGCCACACUGGGACUGAGACACGGCCCAGACUCCUACGGGAGGCAGCAGUGGGGAAUUUUGGACAAUGGGGGCAACCCUGAUCCAGCAAUGCCGCGUGUGUGAAGAAGGCCUUCGGGUUGUAAAGCACUUUUGUCCGGAAAGAAAUCGCGCUGGUUAAUACCUGGCGUGGAUGACGGUACCGGAAGAAUAAGCACCGGCUAACUACGUGCCAGCCGCCGCGGUAA
RNAcentral lists this ribosomal RNA (500 nucleotides) under uncultured bacterium. RNAcentral describes it as "partial 16S ribosomal RNA". It matches the Rfam family "Bacterial small subunit ribosomal RNA", at positions 29 to 523 of the family's 1533-position model. The record is from RNAcentral.